RNAcentral lists this ribosomal RNA (253 nucleotides) under uncultured bacterium. Its description in RNAcentral is "partial 16S ribosomal RNA". It matches the Rfam family "Bacterial small subunit ribosomal RNA", at positions 524 to 776 of the family's 1533-position model. The record is from RNAcentral.
UACGGAGGAUGCAAGCGUUAUCCGGAAUGAUUGGGCGUAAAGGGUCCGCAGGUGGCUAUGUAAGUCUGCUGUUAAAGAGUUUGGCUCAACCAAAUAAAAGCAGUGGAAACUACAUAGCUAGAGUGCGUUCGGGGCAGAGGGAAUUCCUGGUGUAGCGGUGAAAUGCGUAGAUAUCAGGAAGAACACCGGUGGCGAAAGCGCUCUGCUAGGCCGCAACUGACACUGAGGGACGAAAGCUAGGGGAGCGAAUGGG